Molecule: microRNA precursor, 126 nt
Filed under: Myotis davidii
Lineage: Eukaryota; Metazoa; Chordata; Mammalia; Chiroptera; Vespertilionidae
Description: mir-9193 microRNA precursor family
Rfam family: mir-9193 microRNA precursor family
Source: Rfam by way of RNAcentral
CAUGCACCGGUGGGGUUCCUCAGCCUGGCCUGUGCUUUCUUGCUAUCUGGGACCCCUUGGGGGAUGUCCAACUGCUGAUUUUGGCCUGAUCCCGCAGGCCAGGCUGAGGGACCCCACCGGUGCACC